This 508-nucleotide ribosomal RNA is filed under the name uncultured bacterium. Its description in RNAcentral is "bacterial SSU rRNA". It matches the Rfam family "Bacterial small subunit ribosomal RNA", at positions 32 to 516 of the family's 1533-position model. The record is from RNAcentral.
AAUCAACGCUGGCGGCGUGCCUCAGACAUGCAAGUCGAACGCGAAACCUUCCUUCGGGAGGGGAGUAGAGUGGCGCACGGGUGAGUAACACGUAGGUAAUCUACCUUUGGGUGGGGAAUAACAGCCGGAAACGGCUGCUAAUACCGCAUAAUGCAGCGGCUCGACAUCGAGACAGUUGUUAAAGCGGGGGAUCGUAAGACCUCGCGCCUAAAGAGGAGCCUGCGGCAGAUUAGCUAGUUGGUAAGGUAACGGCUUACCAAGGCGACGAUCUGUAGCCGGCCUGAGAGGGCGGUCGGCCACACUGACACUGACAUACGGGUCAGACUCCUACGGGAGGCAGCAGUCGGGAAUUUUGGGCAAUGGGCGAAAGCCUGACCCAGCAACGCCGCGUGAAGGAUGAAAUCCCUCGGGAUGUAAACUUCGCAAGAACGGGAAGAAUAAGUAGAAGCGAAUACUUCUAUGAUGACGGUACCGUUUGUAAGCUCCGGCUAACUCCGUGCCAGCAGCC